This 819-nucleotide ribosomal RNA is filed under the name uncultured organism. Its description in RNAcentral is "bacterial SSU rRNA". It matches the Rfam family "Bacterial small subunit ribosomal RNA", at positions 20 to 887 of the family's 1533-position model. The record is from RNAcentral.
UGGCUCAGAACGAACGCUGGCGGCAGGCCUAACACAUGCAAGUCGAGCGAGGACUUCGGUCCUAGCGGCGGACGGGUGAGUAACGCGUGGGAACGUGCCCUUCACUACGGAAUAGUCCCGGGAAACUGGGUUUAAUACCGUAUACGCCCUUCGGGGGAAAGAAUUUCGGUGAAGGAUCGGCCCGCGUCUGAUUAGGUAGUUGGUGGGGUAACGGCCUACCAAGCCUACGAUCAGUAGCUGGUUUGAGAGGAUGAUCAGCCACACUGGGACUGAGACACGGCCCAGACUCCUACGGGAGGCAGCAGUGGGGAAUCUUAGACAAUGGGGGCAACCCUGAUCUAGCCAUGCCGCGUGAGUGACGAAGGCCCUAGGGUCGUAAAGCUCUUUCACCAGGGAAGAUAAUGACGGUACCUGGAGAAGAAACCCCGGCUAACUCCGUGCCAGCAGCCGCGGUAAUACGGAGGGGGUUAGCGUUGUUCGGAAUUACUGGGCGUAAAGCGCGCGUAGGCGGACAGUUAAGUCAGGGGUGAAAUCCCGGGGCUCAACCCCGGAACUGCCCUUGAUACUGGCAGUCUCGAGUUCGAGAGAGGUGAGUGGAACUCCGAGUGUAGAGGUGAAAUUCGUAGAUAUUCGGAAGAACACCAGUGGCGAAGGCGGCUCACUGGCUCGAUACUGACGCUGAGGUGCGAAAGUGUGGGGAGCAAACAGGAUUAGAUACCCUGGUAGUCCACACCGUAAACGAUGAAUGCCAGACGUCGGGCAGCAUGCUGUUCGGUGUCACACCUAACGGAUUACGCAUUCCGCCUGGGGAGUACGGCC